AGCGGCAAGAAGCACCUUCUUUCUCAAAGUCAACUUUCUCCCUUUUUACUAGUAGUUGAGUGCUCAUUGUUGUUCGGAUCUUGACCGGAUCCGAGCUUCCCAAGCUCUAUGCUGUUGGGGAACUCCGUCGAAUGGUUUCACUCCUCUUUUCCCCUUUUGUCAGUUCCUUGUCAGUCAGUCGACUCCCCUCCCUCAAAAGAUUGUCGAACUUCACGGUUAUUCAUCCAUAUAUGGGUAAUCUCCGGCGGUCAGAGAAGAAAGGAUCUCCAUGAAAGC
This 276-nucleotide long non-coding RNA is filed under the name Nicotiana benthamiana. RNAcentral's name for it is "long non-coding RNA (NBEN_LNC019465)". The record is from RNAcentral. Lineage: Eukaryota; Viridiplantae; Streptophyta; Magnoliopsida; Solanales; Solanaceae.